UUCUUGCUCUCGAGCCGAACGCCCUCUUCACCACUGGAUUUUGAGCACGCAUCAUAAAGCAGAGGACAGGGCCACGUCAGCUAGCGAGAUUGUUCGGGAAAUAGAAAGGUCGUCGCGAACGCCCAAACCACUCUGUUCCCUUAUCCAUCCCCGACCUCCCUCACUCCUCAGGAUCUUGUCGAGACGAGCGGCAACCCACGAUCCCGAGCAAGUUGCCGGGUGUGGGGAUGGUGAGCGGCAUGGCUGGGCUCCAGCGACGGCCGACGACUCCUCCGCGCAUCCCCACCAUGGACGGUCCUCCAACGCUGCAUCCCCGCCAGGGACGGCCGUCCCCAAACUCCUCCGCCUGGGACCGUCAGGUAGGCGGGAUGGGCUCGAGGCACCGGUGGUGGCUGGAGGAGAUCCGGUGAUAGCGGCGGCGAGGGUGUGGCACUGGCUAUAGGGGGCGCUCCAUGCGGCAUCCUUCCCGAGAGCGUGGGGCUGCUGAGGCUCUUCGGCUGGUCCCGCCGCUCAUGGAUCCGCCGACGCCCGUCUCCGAGUCAUUGGUGUGGCAGCGGCGGGGACGGCGGGUCGCUGCCUGCUGACGGCGAUGGCGCGUGCCUCGACGACGGGCCGACGAGGACCCCGAGCAGCCGUGCCAUUCAAGCCCUCUUCGGCUGCUGCGACCGCCUCAUGGUCGCGGCGGCCGCCGCCCAGGUGCUCGCGCUUGUCGUCUACGUCCAGCUCUUCAGUGUGACCAUCAACUCGCUCAUGGUCACCUGCUAUCUGAAUCGUCAAGCAGGUGUGCGCUUUGUCUUCACUAGCGAAUAGUAGCUAUCUGCUAGUUCCGUUUUUUCAUUCGUGGCUGAUAUGUCAACAGAACGAGAGAUGAUGCUACUGAGAUUUUUGCCUAAGUCAUGCUUUAAGACUGAACGUGAGUGUUGUAUUUGCUCAGAGAAGAGAAGAUGAUCAUAUUGAGAAAUUUGACAUUUUUUUGGUUCUUGUAAUCAUCAUUGAUAACACAUGGCAAAUUUAGAAAAAGUUCGGCUCAUACAUUAUGGCAAAAUGUAGAAAUUUUGUAUGAAAAGGUAGGGGACAGGAACUUGGGUGCAGAUUCUAAUUUUGUAUGGAAACCGUGGUCGAGUUCACAUUUGUUGCUAGUUCACAAUUUGUGGCAGAAUGCGUAUGAGGAUGCAACCCAUGUUGCAAAUUUUGUGUUGGCUCUUGCCAUGGCAAAUUGGGUUUCUAUAAAGUUUAAGUAGUUUUUGCA
Triticum aestivum (bread wheat) is the source of this 1249-nucleotide long non-coding RNA. RefSeq lists it as uncharacterized. NCBI's taxonomy places the organism in Eukaryota, Viridiplantae, Streptophyta, Magnoliopsida, Poales, Poaceae. The transcript is spliced from 2 exons. The record is from RefSeq and is a predicted model, not a curated record.